CGGGGUGUGGCGCAGUUGGUAGCGCGCCGCGUUUGGGACGCGGAGGCCGGAGGUUCGAGUCCUCUCACCCCGACCA
This 76-nucleotide transfer RNA is filed under the name Candidatus Nomurabacteria bacterium. RNAcentral's name for it is "tRNA-Pro". It matches the Rfam family "tRNA". Rfam says of the family: Transfer RNA (tRNA) molecules are approximately 80 nucleotides in length. Their secondary structure includes four short double-helical elements and three loops (D, anti-codon, and T loops). Further hydrogen bonds mediate the characteristic L-shaped molecular structure. tRNAs have two regions of fundamental functional importance: the anti-codon, which is responsible for specific mRNA codon recognition, and the 3' end, to which the tRNAs corresponding amino acid is attached (by aminoacyl-tRNA synthetases). tRNAs cope with the degeneracy of the genetic code in two manners: having more than one tRNA (with a specific anti-codon) for a particular amino acid; and 'wobble' base-pairing, i.e. permitting non-standard base-pairing at the 3rd anti-codon position. Lineage: Bacteria; Candidatus Nomuraibacteriota. The record is from RNAcentral.